Molecule: ribosomal RNA, 509 nt
Filed under: uncultured bacterium
Lineage: Bacteria
Description: bacterial SSU rRNA
Rfam family: Bacterial small subunit ribosomal RNA
Source: RNAcentral
GACGAACGCUGGCGGCGUGCCUAACACAUGCAAGUCGAGCGGAGUCGAUCGACGGAAGCCUUCGGGCGGAAGAUGGUUGACUUAGCGGCGGAUGGGUGAGUAACGCGUGGGCAACCUGCCUCGAAGACCGGGAUAACAGCCCGAAAGGGCUGCUAAUACCGGAUGUGGUCAAGGAUCCGCAUGGAUUUUUGAUUAAAGGGGAAACCCGUUUCGAGAUGGGCCCGCGUCCUAUCAGCUAGUUGGUGAGGUAAAAGCUCACCAAGGCGACGACGGGUAGCCGGCCUGAGAGGGUGACCGGCCACACUGGAACUGAGACACGGUCCAGACUCCUACGGGGGGCAGCAGUGGGGAAUCUUCCACAAUGGGCGAAAGCCUGAUGGAGCGACGCCGCGUGAGCGAAGAAGGCCUCGGUUGUAAAGCUCUGUCUGGAGGGACGGAAGGAAGUGACGGUACCUCCGGAGGAAGCCACGGCUAACUACGUGGCAGCAGCCGCGGUAAAAGUCACGUCG